UACGUAGGUGGCGAGCGUUGUCCGGAAUUAUUGGGCGUAAAGCGCGCGCAGGUGGGAUCUUAAGUCUAUUUUCGAAGUGCGGAGCUUAACUCCGUGAUGGGAUAGAAACUGGGAUUCUUGAGUACCGGAGAGGAAAGCGGAAUUCCCCGUGUAGCGGUGAAAUGCGUAGAUAUGGGGAGGAACACCAGUGGCGAAGGCGGCUUUCUGGACGGUGUCUGACACUGAGGCGCGAAAGCCAGGGGAGCGAACGGG
Molecule: ribosomal RNA, 252 nt
Filed under: uncultured bacterium
Lineage: Bacteria
Description: partial 16S ribosomal RNA
Rfam family: Bacterial small subunit ribosomal RNA
Source: RNAcentral